GGGUGCUUAGCUCAGCUGGGAGAGCAUCGCCCUUACAAGGCGAGGGUCACAGGUUCGAUCCCUGUAGCACCCA
RNAcentral lists this transfer RNA (73 nucleotides) under Marichromatium gracile. Its description in RNAcentral is "tRNA-Val". It matches the Rfam family "tRNA". From Rfam's summary of the family: Transfer RNA (tRNA) molecules are approximately 80 nucleotides in length. RNAcentral also lists the same sequence under 1 other name. The record is from RNAcentral. Lineage: Bacteria; Pseudomonadati; Pseudomonadota; Gammaproteobacteria; Chromatiales; Chromatiaceae.